This 376-nucleotide small nuclear RNA is filed under the name Ochotona princeps (American pika). RNAcentral describes it as "7SK RNA (ENSOPRG00000021680.1)". It matches the Rfam family "7SK RNA". From Rfam's summary of the family: 7SK was discovered as an abundant small nuclear RNA in the mid-70s but a possible function has only recently been suggested. Two independent studies have found that 7SK RNA binds the CDK9/cyclin T complex (known as elongation factor P-TEFb). P-TEFb activates transcription by phosphorylating the C-terminal domain of RNA polymerase II. The record is from RNAcentral. Lineage: Eukaryota; Metazoa; Chordata; Mammalia; Lagomorpha; Ochotonidae.
GGAUGUGAGGGCAAUCUGGCUGCGACAUCUGUCACCCCAUUGAUCGCCAGGGUUGAUUCGGCUGAUCUGGCUGGCUAGGCAGGUGCCCCAUUCCUCCCUCACGGCUCCUUGUGCGUCCCUCCCGAAGUUGCGCACUUGGUCGAAGAAGACGACCAUCCCCACUAGAGGAGGACCAGUCGAAGAGGAGGACCAUCCCCGCUAGAGGAGGACUGGUCUUCAGUCAAGGAUAUACAAGUAGCUGUGCUCCCCUGCUAGAACCUCCAGACAAGCUCUCAGGGUCCAUUUACUGCCAUAAACUAGAAUCUUGUGGGUACAACGAGACAAAUGCAGAGCAAUUCUCUUCUAGGAGGACUCUACAGGUGCUGUGUGCAUUUGU